RNAcentral lists this long non-coding RNA (584 nucleotides) under Equus asinus (donkey). RNAcentral's name for it is "lncRNA (ENSEASG00005035699.1)". The record is from RNAcentral. Lineage: Eukaryota; Metazoa; Chordata; Mammalia; Perissodactyla; Equidae.
GGGACUUCCUGCAGGGCUGGCUUUCUUCCCUUUGCUGCUUUUGAGCUUUUCACUCAAGAACAUCGGGCUUUCCUCCUGUGAUGAGCUCAGCCUCAUCAGAGGCAGCUUCUCAGGUUUGACUGGGGGACCUCAGGGUGUUCCCCUACCUUGAACCCACAGUAUCUUUGGAAUGGAAACCACACAGCUGCAUGAUGAUGCAGGAGUUUGCCAGAUUUCAUUCCAUGGUCCUGACCGCAGUCCAGGUUUGAUCGUCAGCUAUUUAACACACAAGAAGCAGACGAUGUUUAUGACUUCAGACAGCGGCCUUGAUUUCACAGAGAAAAUAGGAAAGCUUAUUAUUUUGCACAUGGACCGUGAGAAGCAGACCAGCUUACUCCCACGAAGGCUGGUCACCGGGUGCCCUGAUGAAGAUUUCUCAGAGGGAAUGUGUGGCCCCUCAUUCCAGUGGCUACCUAGUCACUUCUCAAGAAAGUACAGUGCUCUGAUGACUGGGCAGAUGUGCGCGGCCUCUGACUGCAGCCGUGGUGAUGUUCUCUCACGCUGUAAAGGGGAGGAACGGGCUCCAGCAUGGAGACUGAUGGAAU